AAACAAUAGUUUAAGAGUAUCAUUUAUUCGGCUUUAAACAGGGUUUAUAUGCAUUCUUUAAGUAUGGGUGGUAUAAUUGACCCUGAAGCCAUAGAAUCGUUUUAAAACGGCAUUGAGAACUACUUAUUGUAUUUAUGAGUAUUUUAAAGUUUCUUAUUGCUGUGUUUCCAUGGCUUUUUGCUUCCUAGACAUUCUAAAUUUACUCUAAUUUUAAUUAACCUUAUUAUUAACUUACAAUUUAUUAUAUAUUUUCAUAUUAGUUAUUAUUGUUAAUUAUAUAUAAGACUAUUAGCAACUUUAAAGUCCCCUGCACCUAGCUUAAAUUUACCGUCAUCUCUUGCAAAAGGACCAGUUUAGAUGUGGUUUAUAUUAGCAAUAUGA
Cinara cedri is the source of this 381-nucleotide non-coding RNA. NCBI's taxonomy places the organism in Eukaryota, Metazoa, Arthropoda, Insecta, Hemiptera, Aphididae. The record is from the annotation of a GenBank genome assembly.